This 253-nucleotide ribosomal RNA is filed under the name Hemiselmis andersenii. RNAcentral describes it as "partial Bacterial large subunit ribosomal RNA". It matches the Rfam family "Bacterial large subunit ribosomal RNA", at positions 2570 to 2833 of the family's 2925-position model. Lineage: Eukaryota; Cryptophyceae; Cryptomonadales; Hemiselmidaceae. The record is from RNAcentral.
GGUAUGGCUGUUCGCCAUUUAAAGUGGUACGCGAGCUGGGUUUAGAACGUCGUGAGACAGUUCGGUCUCUAUCUAUCGUGGGCGUUGGAGUUUUGCGUGGUGCUGACACUAGUACGAGAGGACCGUGUUGGACAGACCUCCGGUUUACCAGUUGUGCCGCCAGGUGCACCGCUGGGUAUCUGAGUCUGGAUUGGAUAAGCGCUGAAAGCAUCUAAGUGCGAAGCCAGCCGCAAGAUUAGAACUCCUCAUAAGG